This is a long non-coding RNA of Homo sapiens (human), 1036 nucleotides long. RefSeq lists it as uncharacterized. The record is from RefSeq and is a predicted model, not a curated record. NCBI's taxonomy places the organism in Eukaryota, Metazoa, Chordata, Mammalia, Primates, Hominidae. The transcript has 2 exons.
AGGUGGAAGUGACCUCACUGCUUCCAGGCUUGACCUAUAAUAACUCCUUGGAAACUUGUACUUUUUCUUCCCCUGUCAGAUGUCUGGACUUAAAGGAUCCAGCAGAGGAUUUGGAGGCUCCAGGGUAUGGCUGAGCCCAAGAUGUCAAAGUCUGGGUCAGUGAAUCACAGUAUGGGAGGCCAGUUGCUGAAUGUCUAUACUAAUUGUUACUUCAGCAAGCAAUCAACGACAGUUCUAGGAGUUAACAGCAGCUUCCUGAGCCAGAACAGACCGAGAGAGACUCCUGGGGAGCUUUGAAAAAAAGAAAUUUAUUUCUCAUGGUUCUGGAAGCUGGGAAGUCCAAGAUCAAGGAAGCAGCAAAUUCAAUGUCUGGCCAGAGUCCCGCCUCCUCAUAGAUUCAUGGAUAUUCUUCUUGCUGUUUUCUCACAUGGUGGAAGAAGCAAGGCAGCUUCUGGGGUCACUUUUAUAAGGGCACUCAUGCAAUUAUGCAGGCUCUGUCUUCAUGUCCAAAUCAUCUCCCAAAAGACCCCAUCUCCUAACAAAUGAAUGCUGGGGUGACACAGACAUUCUGACCACAGCAGGAUUUGAAUCUAGCCUGCUGUAACCCAAAGCCUGUGUUACUAAGAACUUUGCUAUAUGGCAUGGGUCUUUCUGAGCCCUACCUGCCCUACAUCCUCUUCUAUAUCAAAAAUUUCACUUUUUUUUUUCAAAUAUUUUAUUUUUUGUAGAGAUGAGGAGGUCUUGAACUCCUGCCCUCAAAUGAUUCUCCUGCCUCGGCCUCCCAACGUGCUGGGAUUACAGACGUGAGCCACCUUGCCCAGCCAAAAAUUUUCAUUGUUUCUAACCUGGAUUCCUCUUCAAACCCUUCUAGGCAAUGUUUAUCCCACUGCAAGGAUGAGUUGCAUUUGCAACAUUUCUGAAUGUAAUUAUAAGUUAUUUCCAUAAUGGCUGAAUAGUCUGAAAAAAAGUUUUUUUUGCUGUGUGCUAUGUAGGCACAUUGAAUAAUAUUUAAACAAUAAAGGUUACCUCUUAUGUA